UACAGAGGGUGCGAGCGUUGUCCGGAAUCACUGGGCGUAAAGGGCGCGUAGGUGGCGCGACAAGUCAGUGGUGAAAGUUCGACGCUCAACGUCGAAUCGGCCACUGAUACUGUUGGGCUUGAGCACUGUAGAGGCUAAUGGAAUUCCGGGUGUAGCGGUGGAAUGCGUAGAGAUCCGGAAGAACACCGGUGGCGAAGGCGGUUAGCUGGGCAGUUGCUGACACUGAGGCGCGACAGCGUGGGGAGCAAACAGGG
Molecule: ribosomal RNA, 254 nt
Filed under: uncultured bacterium
Lineage: Bacteria
Description: partial 16S ribosomal RNA
Rfam family: Bacterial small subunit ribosomal RNA
Source: RNAcentral